AUUAAACGCUGGCGGCAUGCCUUACACAUGCAAGUCGAACGGCAGCACGGGGGCAACCCUGGUGGCGAGUGGCGAACGGGUGAGUAAAGCAUCGGAACGUGCCCUGGAGUGGGGGAUAACGUAGCGAAAGUUACGCUAAUACCGCAUAUUCUGUGAGCAGGAAAGCAGGGGAUCGCAAGACCUUGCGCUCUGGGAGCGGCCGAUGUCGGAUUAGCUAGUUGGUGGGGUAAAGGCCUACCAAGGCGACGAUCCGUAGCGGGUCUGAGAGGAUGAUCCGCCACACUGGGACUGAGACACGGCCCAGACUCCUACGGGAGGCAGCAGUGGGGGAAUUUUGGACAAUGGGCGAAAGCCUGAUCCAGCCAUGCCGCGUGAGUGAAGAAGGCCU
This 388-nucleotide ribosomal RNA is filed under the name uncultured bacterium. RNAcentral describes it as "bacterial SSU rRNA". It matches the Rfam family "Bacterial small subunit ribosomal RNA", at positions 29 to 417 of the family's 1533-position model. The record is from RNAcentral.